Molecule: ribosomal RNA, 606 nt
Filed under: uncultured bacterium
Lineage: Bacteria
Description: bacterial SSU rRNA
Rfam family: Bacterial small subunit ribosomal RNA
Source: RNAcentral
AGAGUUUGAUUCUGGCUCAGGAUGAACGCUGGCGGCGUGCUUAACACAUGCAAGUCGAACGGGAAUGCCACGCUGAUGCGAUUUCGGUCAAAUCAUGUGGCAUUCGAGUGGCGGACGGGUGAGUAACGCGUGGGUAACCUGCCUUACACAGGGGGAUAACACCUGGAAACAGGUGCUAAUACCGCAUAAGCGCACAGGGCCGCAUGGCCCGGUGUGAAAAACUCCGGUGGUGUAAGAUGGACCCGCGUCUGAUUAGCUUGUUGGCGGGGUAGGGGCCCACCAAGGCGACGAUCAGUAGCCGGCCUGAGAGGGUGGACGGCCACAUUGGGACUGAGACACGGCCCAAACUCCUACGGGAGGCAGCAGUGGGGGAUAUUGGACAAUGGGGGAAACCCUGAUCCAGCGACGCCGCGUGAGUGAAGAAGUAUUUCGGUAUGUAAAGCUCUGUCAGCAGGGAAGAAAGAAAUGACGGUACCUGACCAAGAAGCCCCGGCUAACUACGUGCCAGCAGCCGCGGUAAUACGUAGGGGGCAAGCGUUAUCCGGAAUUACUGGGUGUAAAGGGAGCGUAAACGGUGAUGCAAGUCUGGAGUGAAAGGCGGGGGCC